UACGAAGGGGGCUAGCGUUGUUCGGAAUUACUGGGCGUAAAGGGCGCGUAGGCGGCGUGUCAAGUCAGGCGUGAAAGCCCCGGGCUCAACCUGGGAACCGCGCUUGAGACUGGCAUGCUCGAGUUCGGGAGAGGAUGGUGGAAUUCCCAGUGUAGAGGUGAAAUUCGUAGAUAUUGGGAAGAACACCGGUGGCGAAGGCGGCUAUCUGGACCGUAACUGACGCUGAGGCGCGAAAGCGUGGGGAGCAAACAGG
This 253-nucleotide ribosomal RNA is filed under the name uncultured bacterium. RNAcentral describes it as "partial 16S ribosomal RNA". It matches the Rfam family "Bacterial small subunit ribosomal RNA", at positions 524 to 776 of the family's 1533-position model. The record is from RNAcentral.